AGAGAAGAANCAUUUCUUCUUUUUGAAAGUNGGUUUCGGCUNANCACUUACAGAUGAGCCCGCGGCGCAUUAGCUAGUUGGUGAGGUAACGGCUCACCAAGGCGACGAUGCGUAGCCGACCUGAGAGGGUGAUCGGCCACACUGGGACUGAGACACGGCCCAGANUCCUACGGGAGGCAGCAGUAGGGAAUCUUCGGCAAUGGGCGAAAGCCUGACCGAGCAACGCCGCGUGAGCGAUGAAGGCCUUCGGGUCGUAAAGCUCUGUUGUUAGAGAAGAACAAGUACGAGAGUAACUGCUCGUACCUUGACGGUACCUAACCAGAAAGCCACGGCUAACUACGUGCCAGCAGCCGCGGUAAUACGUAGGUGGCAAGCGUUAUCCGGAAUUAUUGGGCGUAAAGCGCGCGCAGGCGGUCUCUUAAGUCUGAUGUGAAAGCCCACGGCUCAACCGUGGAGGGUCAUUGGAAACUGGGAGACUUGAGUGCAGGAGAGAAAAGUGGAAUUCCACGUGUAGCGGUGAAAUGCGUAGAGAUGUGGAGGAACACCAGUGGCGAAGGCGGCUUUUUGGCCUGUAACUGACGCUGAGGCGCGAAAGCGUGGGGAGCAAACAGGAUUAGAUACCCUGGUAGUCCACGCCGUAAACGAUGAGUGCUAGGUGUUGGGGGGUUCCACCCUCAGUGCUGAAGUUAACACAUUAAGCACUCCGCCUGGGGAGUACGACCGCAAGGUUGAAACUCAAAGGAAUUGACGGGGGCCCGCACAAGCAGUGGAGCAUGUGGUUUAAUUCGAAGCAACGCGAAGAACCUUACCAGGUCUUGACAUCCUUUGACCACUCUAGAGAUAGAGCUUUCCCCUUCGGGGGACAAAGUGACAGGUGGUGCAUGGUUGUCGUCAGCUCGUGUCGUGANAUGUUGGGUUAAGUCCCGCAACGAGCGCAACCNUUGACCUUAGUUGCCAGCAUUCAGUUGGGCACUCUAAGGUGACUGCCGGUGACAAACCGGAGGAAGGUGGGGAUGACGUCAAAUCAUCAUGCCCCUUAUGACCUGGGCUACACACGUGCUACAAUGGAUGAUACAAAGGGUUG
This 1084-nucleotide ribosomal RNA is filed under the name Fictibacillus phosphorivorans. RNAcentral's name for it is "bacterial SSU rRNA". It matches the Rfam family "Bacterial small subunit ribosomal RNA", at positions 179 to 1249 of the family's 1533-position model. Lineage: Bacteria; Bacillati; Bacillota; Bacilli; Caryophanales; Fictibacillaceae. The record is from RNAcentral.